Molecule: ribosomal RNA, 1054 nt
Filed under: uncultured archaeon
Lineage: Archaea
Description: bacterial SSU rRNA
Rfam family: Archaeal small subunit ribosomal RNA
Source: RNAcentral
GCGGCCGCUCCGUUUGAUCCUGCCGGAGGUCACUGCUAUCGGUGUUCGAUUAAGCCAUGCGAGUCGAGAGGGGUCAUGCCCUCGGCGGACUGCUCAGUAACACGUGGACAACUUACCCAAAAGUCCGGGAUAACCCCGGGAAACUGGGGAUAAUACCGGAUAGAUCAUCUGUGCUGGAAGGCUGGGUGGUUGAAACUUCCGGGGCUUUUGGAUGGGUCUGCGGCUGAUCAGGUUGUUGCCGUGUAACGUACCGUCAAGCCUGUAAUCAGUACGGGUUGUGGGAGCAAGAGCCCGGAGAUGGAUUCUGAGACACGAAUCCAGGCCCUACGGGGCGCAGCAGGCGCGAAAACUCUACAAUGCAGGCAACUGCGAUAGGGGAACAUCGAGUGGUCCUCAUAUUGGGGGCCUGUCCCCCCGCCUAAAAAGCGGGGGUUAGCAAGGGCCGGGCAAGACCGGUGCCAGCCGCCGCGGUAAUACCGGCGGCUCGAGUGGUGGCCGAUAUUAUUGAGUCUAAAGGGUCCGUAGCCGGCUUUGCAAGUCUCUCGGGAAAUCCAGCGGCUUAACCGUAGGUCGUCCGGGGGGUACUACCUUGCUUGGGACUGGGAGAGGUAGGAGGUACUCAGGGGGUAGGAGUGAAAUCCUGUAAUCCUUUGGGGACCACCGGUGGCGAAGGCGUCCUACCAGAACAGGUCCGACGGUGAGGGACGAAAGCUAGGGGCACGAACCGGAUUAGAUACCCGGGUAGUCCUAGCCGUAAACGAUACUCGCUAGGUGUCGGCCACGGUGCGACCGUUGUCGGUGCCGAAGGGAAGCCGUGAAGCGAGCCACCUGGGAAGUACGGCCGCAAGGCUGAAACUUAAAGGAAUUGGCGGGGGAGCACCACAACGGGUGGAGCUUGCGGUUUAAUUGGAUUCAACGCCGGAAAUCUUACCGGGACCGACAGCAAUAUGAAGGCCAGGCUGAAGACUUUGCCGGAUUAGCUGAGAGGUGGUGCAUGGCCGUCGUCAGUUCGUACUGUGAAGCAUCCUGUUAAGUCAGGCAACGAGCGAGACCC